Molecule: long non-coding RNA, 1500 nt
Filed under: Neogobius melanostomus (round goby)
Lineage: Eukaryota; Metazoa; Chordata; Actinopteri; Gobiiformes; Gobiidae
Description: lncRNA (ENSNMLG00000022609.1)
Source: RNAcentral
AGCGAUACGACACCAAAUGUGGAGGCUUAUUACACUUGUUUCCUAACCCUGAUCGCAUCAGCAAGCGCGCGUGAUUGUUGUAUCCUGUCCAAAGUAAUAGAAGACACCUUUUUUUUUUUUUUUUUUUUACCUUUGCUGGGAGACGGGAGCGCCAUGAUGACUUCUGAAAUCAACACGACCCGUUCCUACGAGAGCAAACUGGAACCAUGGAGCCCACCAAUCAGGAGCCAGAGAUCUGCGGUCCCGCCUCCAUCGCCUAACCCUGCCAAUCAGGAAGUGCACCAUUCUCAAUAAUGGACGGGAAACACGGGCCACGUCUGUCCCGGAGCGCAGCAGGCCAUGACCGAGAGGCAAAGCACCGUGAAGCCGAUCGGAAGACAGUAACCUUCAGUGACGGGAUACUUCUCCUUUGAGGUGGGUUUAUACUCCGUAGAUCUCCCAAAUAUCAGCGAGGACCUUUAUUUACAGUGCUAGCUUUCCUGACGGGGCUAGCUUGCUCGUUAACCAUAGGUCUGUGACAUUGCACGUGUUUCCCUGCGCUGCUUAAAGGACACUGAGAAUAAACGCGGAUCAUUUGACUUUACACAUCUCGAGAGAUGUAGGAAAUGUGUCCGGGUGUGUUUUAUUGCUUUCUUAAAUGCUGAUAAAAGGAUAACUCCGAGGGGUGGCGUCACGUGGCCUGCGCUAACAAAAACACUGGUUGACAUUUUCUCAUUCUACUUUGUUACGCUGCAUAUGUUCUAAGGGGGGAUUCUGUGGCACAACAGAUCAAGAAUAUAUAAGCAACAGUGAUCUAAACUUUCGCAUUAUUAAAUUAAAUUAUUCGUGCAAGAUUGUGUAAUACUACAAAGUACACAAUGUUCCUAAAUGCCAAAUUCUAUCAUGCCACUUACCUGUCAAUUUAAAAGUUUCAUUGCCAGACUAUGUUGCACAUAAUAUGAAGAGGUUUUUGCCAAGUCAGCCAUUAACACAGUGUUGCCAAACCGCUUUAAAGAAGGCAUGACUCUUUUCACUUGACCAAGAGGAAGUUUUGUGUCAAGAUUUUCUGCUCACCUAAAGGAAGUUAAUAAUGACACUAAAUGUCUGUUUUUGGUUGAUCUAUUCAUUGUAUGUUGAGCUCCACUGGCCAUUUCAAUAGAAAAAAACGUGGAAGGAUGUCUAACCUUUACUGUAUAUUAACACACUUCUGCUCUCCUCUGUGCUGCGCUGGUUUGGAGAUUUUGUUGAUAAAACAACGGUAACACAUUCUCUUCAGGGACAUGCCAGGCCAUGUUCAUCAGGAUCAGACUAGAACUAAAAGCCGACAGAGGAAAACUUUAGCUAAUACAACCAUUUCGGUGUUUAUCAGUAGGCAACUGAGUAGGUUUUGAUCAGAAGUGAGAUUAAACCUUAUGAUAACGUUUAAAGUCCAAUGCCUUAAAAAUUGCAUUAAAUUAGGAUAAUACGAGAUGGUAAGGGACAGGGUUACUUUGAUGUAUUAAGUGUUAAUUUCAAAAGCAG